UUAAAGCCCAGCAUCCAAAAUAAACACUCAAAGGCUCAAAUAAAAAGGGUGCAAUUGUCUGACUGGAUAGCACAGAUGGUUAAAACACUGACUAGUAGUUCAGACGUUGAGAGUUCAAGUCUCAUAAGGUUCAAUUAAUUUUUGGGGCAGCAGUAGAGAUUAGGUUAGGAUAGGGGCAAAGAGCAGCAGUAAGAGGAGGGGAUGUUACUUUCUUGGAACAUGUAGGUGGGGUCUGUGCUUUUGGAGAUUUAAACAUUGGUAACAUUGGUAACUAUUGCUUAAAAUAUCCAGUUAACUUCCUUUUAUACAUACAAAGUUUAAUAAGUUCAGUAUUUCUGUCCAUAUUUUGCUUUUGUCCUUAAAUUCAAAACACAAAGUUUCAGAUUCCUGUUUGUGAUUGGACAGAAAACACGUUAAGUAGCUCGUUUGCGUCUUACAUCAUGACGGGGUCAUGUGUAUACAAUGGAGACGCCUUCACAGGCUCUCCUAAUACUAUGGAUUUUCCCCAUUCAUGACUGUAUAAAACGAUCAAAGCGAGAGACCAGGAGAGGCUACAAGAGGCUUCACUUGAUCUCCAUGAGUCAGCCCAGAGCCAGAGGAUGUCACUGAGAUGUUUCAUGAUUAACAAGUGCUGACACUGCAGAGCAAGAUGAGGUUAAUCUUCAUCUGUGUGCCACAGACAAGAGAUUCUGCCUCAUCAACGAUGGAGAUGAUGUUUCACCAGGCAGGAGCCAUGCUGACUACCUCCACAUCCAUGCACAGCUUCACGUCAUGGAUGCUGAGUAUUGCGACUUUGUGACUUUUUUGUUGAAAGAAUUUUGCCAAAGUUGAGAAUUUUCUUCAGGAACAUUAACUUCCAGAGGCCUUGGGACAGAAGGUAAUAUGUUGACAUGUAAUAUGACAAAGACACACUGGGUGGCGUCAGCUCAGGCUGUAGAUUCAGUCAUACUUGGCAAAUGAAAACAUGACUAACACAAAUGUAUGUCUUUGUUUGGCAAUUGGAUGUCAUUGUGAAGAUUAAAUAAUACAG
Long non-coding RNA from Lates calcarifer (barramundi perch), 1030 nucleotides. RefSeq lists it as uncharacterized. NCBI's taxonomy places the organism in Eukaryota, Metazoa, Chordata, Actinopteri, Centropomidae. The transcript has 3 exons. The record is from RefSeq and is a predicted model, not a curated record.